RNAcentral lists this ribosomal RNA (253 nucleotides) under uncultured bacterium. RNAcentral describes it as "partial 16S ribosomal RNA". It matches the Rfam family "Bacterial small subunit ribosomal RNA", at positions 524 to 776 of the family's 1533-position model. The record is from RNAcentral.
UACGGGGGGGGCAAGCGUUGUUCGGAAUUACUGGGCGUAAAGGGCUCGUAGGCGGCCAACUAAGUCAUACGUGAAAUCCCUCGGCUUAACCGGGGAACUGCGUCUGAUACUGGAUGGCUUGAGUUCGGGAGAGGGAUGCGGAAUUCCAGGUGUAGCGGUGAAAUGCGUAGAUAUCUGGAGGAACACCGGUGGCGAAGGCGGCAUCCUGGACCGAAACUGACGCUGAGGAGCGAAAGCCAGGGGAGCAAACGGG